GUUCACCUUAGUUCACCUUGAUCUGACGUAGUGACAGAAACCUAACAGGAUUGUACCCAUGGCAAGUUGGAAAAGGAAAAUCUGCCGGUACCUGCCCCAGUUCCACUUGCGGACAGCUAUCCCGAGGGCGACGAGAAUCAGGUUUCUACCGUUAGGCAUGACCUCGAGUGUUUGCGUGUGUGUGUGUGUUUCUGACUCCUCUAGCCAGCAAGCUAAGGGCGCUCCUGAGAUUCCAUAAGCAUCGCCGUAUGAACCUUCCGAUGUUCUUUGCAAAG
Penaeus monodon (black tiger shrimp) is the source of this 275-nucleotide long non-coding RNA. RefSeq lists it as uncharacterized. The record is from RefSeq and is a predicted model, not a curated record. The transcript is spliced from 3 exons. Lineage: Eukaryota; Metazoa; Arthropoda; Malacostraca; Decapoda; Penaeidae.